Molecule: long non-coding RNA, 993 nt
Organism: Macrobrachium nipponense
Lineage: Eukaryota; Metazoa; Arthropoda; Malacostraca; Decapoda; Palaemonidae
Exons: 3
Source: RefSeq, a predicted model, not a curated record
CGGGAGCUGGUCCCAAGCUCAGCGUCUCAUUUCUUCGGUGGUUCCUGAAUCGAGCACCAAAGCUUAGUCGCUCUAGAAGCCCAGCUGAAGAUCGUCCCAGUGCAGAAGCCAAGAUGAAGCCUGUCAACUCUGCUUUGUUUCUGCUGUGCCUGAGCCUGUGGGGUAGCAGUGAAACAUCAGGAAUGACCAUCCCUUGGGAGGUUUCAACGACAACUUGGUCAACAACUGCCGCCACUGAAGAUAGUACUUUACUUGGCCUGACAACUAAUGCCGCUGAUGAUAGUACUUUACUUGGCCUGACAACUAAUGUCACUGAUGAUAGUACUUUACUUGGCCUGACAACUAAUGCCGCAGAUGAUAGUACUUUACUUGUCCUGACAACUAAUGUCACUGAUGAUAGUACUUUACUUGUCCUGACAACUAAUGUCACUGAUGAUAGUACUUUACUUGGUCUGACAACUAAUGCCGCUGAUGAUAGUACUUUACUUGUAAUGACAACUAAUGCCGCUGAUGAUAGUACUUUACUUGUCCUGACAACUAAUGUCACUGAUGAUAGUACUUUACUUGGCCUUGAUAACUAAUGCCACUGAUGAUAGCACUUUACUUCCCCUGACAACUAAUGCCACUGAUGAUAGUUUCUUUACUUGGCCUAACAACUGUCGCCACUGAUUCGUCGACUGGAUAAAGACCACCACACAAGGAUCCACUGAUCAAUGUAGCCCACCUACAGGAUGAAGCCCAACUUCACCAAAUGGUAAUAUCGGCAACCUGGCUCACCAUCUUCUUCAGGAAUACAUUUUUCGAAGCUCUUUUUCCUUCAUCAGCAUCAGCACUAUAACUUACUUGAAAUUUAGCAUUAAAUCUGACAUUUUGUUUGAUUUUCAACACUAAAUCUGAAAUUUUAUCUUCCAAAUUUAGCACUAAAUCUGAAAUGUUUUCUUCCAAGAGUAAUGUACCUACCUUUUGAUUAAAUAAAAUUAUUUGCAAUCUUGA